RNAcentral lists this transfer RNA (76 nucleotides) under Clostridia bacterium. RNAcentral's name for it is "tRNA-Thr". It matches the Rfam family "tRNA". Rfam says of the family: Transfer RNA (tRNA) molecules are approximately 80 nucleotides in length. Their secondary structure includes four short double-helical elements and three loops (D, anti-codon, and T loops). The record is from RNAcentral. Lineage: Bacteria; Bacillati; Bacillota; Clostridia.
GCUGCUAUGGCUCAGUCGGUAGAGCACAUCCUUGGUAAGGAUGAGGUCACCAGUUCAAGUCUGGUUAGCAGCUCCA